CGCGUAGGCGGCUCGGUAAGUCUGGAGUGAAAGUCCUGCUUUUAAGGUGGGAAUUGCUUUGGAUACUGUCGGGCUUGAGUGCAGGAGAGGUUAGUGGAAUUCUCAGUGUAGCGGUGAAAUGCGUAGAGAUUGGGAGGAACACCAGUGGCGAAGGCGACUAACUGGACUGUAACUGACGCUGAGGCGCGAAAGUGUGGGGAGCAAACA
Molecule: ribosomal RNA, 207 nt
Filed under: uncultured bacterium
Lineage: Bacteria
Description: partial 16S ribosomal RNA
Rfam family: Bacterial small subunit ribosomal RNA
Source: RNAcentral